This is a long non-coding RNA of Dreissena polymorpha, 550 nucleotides long. RefSeq lists it as uncharacterized. The record is from RefSeq and is a predicted model, not a curated record. Lineage: Eukaryota; Metazoa; Mollusca; Bivalvia; Myida; Dreissenidae. The transcript is spliced from 2 exons.
CCCGCCGUCCCGCCAUGAGACGAUUUGUCCCGACAUUCGUAAAAAACGAUGUAAGGUGUAUAGGUUCCCAAUAAAAUUCGCUAUUCAAGCUCUGUUUCGCUAACACUUAACACCGCUAAUCCCUUUAUUGCCCUCCAAUUAACAAUCCGAUUCUACUUAUCGUGUGUACCAGUGUUGUUUAUGACACCUUAUCAGCGAUUUAUCGGCUAAUUAUUGAUUUCAUCAGGCAUUCACACCAUGGUGGUCUUCAAGAUAGUGGUCGCUUAUUGCUAUCGAUAGUUUUAUUAUAAUGAAAUAAAUGUUGAAAAUGUGUUUAUUUUGUAUUUGUUUGAAACGGUUUACAAAACAAUUGUUUUGUAAAAUUAACGCUACGUCAUAAAUGAGUCUUUUACAUUCAAUGUUUAGUUCCAAUAUAGCGGGAUAUUCCGAAUGUGCAAUAUACCAAAAUCGCAACAAACAGUCCAAUAAGUGAUACCCAUCCUGUCUAGUGUAAUUGUAAUAAAAACAACGAGGUGCUAUGCAUGACAGUUUGACCCUACUCCAAUUAAGC